This 450-nucleotide ribosomal RNA is filed under the name uncultured bacterium. RNAcentral describes it as "partial 16S ribosomal RNA". It matches the Rfam family "Bacterial small subunit ribosomal RNA", at positions 338 to 795 of the family's 1533-position model. The record is from RNAcentral.
CCUACGGGCGGCAGCAGUGGGGAAUUUUGGACAAUGGGCGCAAGCCUGAUCCAGCCAUUCCGCGUGAGUGAAGAAGGCCUUCGGGUUGUACAGCUCUUUCGCGAGGGAAGAAAACUUAUCCUCUAACAUAGGAUGAGGUUGACGGUACCUUGAUAAGAAGCACCGGCUAACUACGUGCCAGCAGCCGCGGUAAUACGUAGGGUACGAGCGUUAAUCGGAAUUACUGGGCGUAAUGUUGGCGCACGGUGGUGACAUCCCCGAGCUCAACUUGGGAACUGCGUUUGAAACUACAAGACUAGAAUAGGUCAGAGGGGGGUAGAAUUCCACGUGUAGCAGUGAAAUGCGUAGAGAUGUGGAGGAAUAUCAAUGGCGAAGGCAGCCCCCUGGGAUCAUAUUGACGCUCAUGCACGAAAGCGUGGGGAGCAAACAGGAUUAGAUACCCCUGUAGUC